RNAcentral lists this ribosomal RNA (371 nucleotides) under Eremias velox velox. Its description in RNAcentral is "partial 12S ribosomal RNA". It matches the Rfam family "Bacterial small subunit ribosomal RNA", at positions 862 to 1399 of the family's 1533-position model. Lineage: Eukaryota; Metazoa; Chordata; Lepidosauria; Squamata; Lacertidae. The record is from RNAcentral.
CUGCUCUCCGCCAGAGAACUACAAGUGAAAAACUUCAAACUCAAAGGACUUGGCGGUGUCCCAUAUCGACCUAGAGGAGCCUGUCCUAUAAUCGAUACUCCCCGCUCUACCUAACCUCAACUAGCACUCCACAGCCUAUAUACCGCCGUCGACAGUCUACCCCAUGAGGGCCCAACAGUAGACACAAUAACCCAACCGCUAACACGUCAGGUCAAGGUGUAGCACAUGCUGAGGAAGAGAUUGGCUACAUUUUUUACAUUAAAAAACACGAAAUGCAACAUGAAACCCUGCAUGAAGGUGAAUUUAGUAGUAAGAUCUAAUGAGAGUAUUUAUCUUAACAACGCUCUGGGACGCGCACACACCGCCCGUCA